Molecule: transfer RNA, 75 nt
Filed under: Mycobacterium avium
Lineage: Bacteria; Bacillati; Actinomycetota; Actinomycetes; Mycobacteriales; Mycobacteriaceae
Also listed under: 86 other names
Description: tRNA-Met
Rfam family: tRNA
About the family: Transfer RNA (tRNA) molecules are approximately 80 nucleotides in length.
Source: RNAcentral
CGCGGGGUGGAGCAGCUCGGUAGCUCGCUGGGCUCAUAACCCAGAGGUCGCAGGUUCGAAUCCUGUCCCCGCUAC